This 402-nucleotide ribosomal RNA is filed under the name uncultured bacterium. RNAcentral's name for it is "bacterial SSU rRNA". It matches the Rfam family "Bacterial small subunit ribosomal RNA", at positions 355 to 774 of the family's 1533-position model. The record is from RNAcentral.
UGGGGAAUAUUGCACAAUGGGCGAAAGCCUGAUGCAGCAACGCCGCGUGAGUGAUGAAGGCCUUCGGGUUGUAAAGCUCUGUCUUCUGGGACGAUAAUGACGGUACCAGAGGAGGAAGCCACGGCUAACUACGUGCCAGCAGCCGCGGUAAUACGUAGGUGGCAAGCGUUGUCCGGAUUUACUGGGCGUAAAGGAUGCGUAGGCGGAUACUUAAGUCAGAGGUGAAAUCUUACAGCUUAACUGUGAAACUGCCUUUGAUACUGCAAGCCUAGAGUAUGGAAGAGAGUGAUGGAAUAUCUGGUGUAGCAGCGAAAUGCGUAGAUAUCAGAUAGAACACCAAUGGCGAAGGCAGUCACUUGGUCCAUUACUGACGCUAAAGCACGAAAGCGUGGGUAGCAAACA